GGAGACUGCCAUCGAUGGGACUCCAGCGCCCCCUGCAGCAUCCUCCACCGGACUUUUUCAUGAAGUUAAAAAAAAAAGAAACGAUCAUCAAACAUUUUACCCAGAAUAAGCUAAAACGAUGCCAAAUGGACGUCCACCUUCAGUCUGACGGAGACCGAGGUCAAAGACACAAACUGGGACCCCGACAGAGCGGUUCUUGAUUGUAAAGUUUUAUUCAGAGUUUAUGUGAACAAAGAGAAAUGAUUGAGGAGAGCGUACUGACCCUGUGGGAAUCUUCAGGGGGUUUUUUAAAUUCCAUUCUGGGGACAAAAAACAAGAAGCUGCAAACAUCCGCAGAGCCGAGGUCGUCGGUUUGUUUGCAGCGAAGCAGCGACACUGCCAGAAGGUCAGCCGGAGGUCAAACCACGUCCCGCUGUUUACAGAGCAACAGACGGGAUAUGUGGACUUACUUUGUGACAUCUUUGUUGAGGAACUUUGUCCUGAAAAUGUUAUUGUUAAACCAAUAAAAGCUUUUGAUUCCAAACACAAA
Non-coding RNA from Labrus bergylta (ballan wrasse), 529 nucleotides. NCBI's taxonomy places the organism in Eukaryota, Metazoa, Chordata, Actinopteri, Labriformes, Labridae. The record is from RefSeq and is a predicted model, not a curated record.